RNAcentral lists this ribosomal RNA (403 nucleotides) under uncultured prokaryote. Its description in RNAcentral is "bacterial SSU rRNA". It matches the Rfam family "Bacterial small subunit ribosomal RNA", at positions 355 to 774 of the family's 1533-position model. The record is from RNAcentral.
UGGGGGAUAUUGCACAAUGGGGGAAACCCUGAUGCAGCAACGCCGCGUGAAGGAAGAAGGUCUUCGGAUUGUAAACUUUUGUCUUGCGGGACGAAUAAUGACGGUACCGCAGGAGGAAGCCACGGCUAACUACGUGCCAGCAGCCGCGGUAAUACGUAGGUGGCGAGCGUUGUCCGGCAUUACUGGGUGUAAAGGGUGCGUAGGCGGGUUUGCAAGUCAGGUGUGAAAACUAUCGGCUUAACCGGUAGCCUGCCCUUGAAACUGGAAGGCUUGAGUGGUGAAGAGGUAAGCGGAAUUCCUAGUGUAGCGGUGAAAUGCGUAGAUAUUAGGAGGAACACCAGUGGCGAAGGCGGCUUACUGGGCACUAACUGACGCUGAGGCACGAAAGCAUGGGGAGCAAACA